AACCUGUGGCGCGCUCCGCGGUUCCGGCGCCUGAAGUUUUAGCUGCGGUGGCGGCGGCAGUCGGGACCGACUGCAAGGCAGGUUGAGAUGAUGGAUCUGAGGCUUGCAGCUCGCAGUCCCAACGAGCCUUAGGGACCAGGGCUACCAAAAGGGUGGGGAGAACGGUGGUGGCAUCUGUCUGUUGCCUGGGAUCCAGGCGCCCGGUUGGGGAAUCCUUACUUCAGGAAGCGCAGCCGCGGCUCUGUGUUUUGAGAGUGCAAAUGUCAUUUGUCAGAGUGAACCGCUGUGGUCCCCGAGUUGGUGUAAGAAAGACACCGAAAGUAAAGAAGAAGAAAACUUCAGUGAAACAAGAAUGGGAUAAUACCGUGACUGAUCUAACCGUUCAUCGGGCAACUCCCGAAGAUCUGGUACGCCGUCAUGAAAUACACAAAUCGAAGAAUAGAGCAUUAGUACACUGGGAACUCCAAGAAAAAGCUUUGAAGAGAAAAUGGAGGAAGCAGAAACCAGAAACUUUAAAUCUUGAGAAAAGAAGAUUGUCUAUCAUGAAGGAGAUUCUUUCUGAUCAAUACCAGAUGCAAGAUGUGUUGGAGAAAUCUGAUCAUCUAAUAGCUGCAGCAAAAGAGCUGUUUCCUCGUAGGCGCACAGGGUUUCCAAAUGUAACAGUGGCUCCUGAUUCCUCUCAGGGUCCCAUUGUGGUAAAUCAAGACCCUAUCACCCAAUCUAUCUUUAAUGAGUCUGUCAUAGAACCUCAGGCUCUUAAUGAUGUAGAUGGUGAAGAAGAAGGAACUGUUAAUAGCCAGUCAGGAGAAAGUGAGAAUGAGAAUGAGUUGGAUAACUCUCUAAACUCUCAGUCUAACACGAAUACAGACAGGUUUCUCCAACAACUAACAGAAGAGAAUUUUGAGUUAAUUAGUAAGUUGUGGACUGACAUUCAGCAGAAAAUAGCAACCCAGUCACAAAUAACUCCUCCAGGAACGCCAUCAUCUGCUCUUUCAUCAGGGGAGCAAAGAGCUGCUCUGAAUGCUACCAAUGCUGUCAAGAGACUCCAAACCAGGCUUCAGCCUGAAGAAUCUACUGAGACUCUAGACUCAAGCUACGUUGUGGGACACGUGCUGAACUCAAGGAAGCAAAAACAGCUGUUAAAUAAAGUGAAAAGGAAACCGAAUUUGCAUGCUCUUUCCAAGCCGAAGAAAAACAUAUCAUCAGGUAGCACAACCUCUGCAGACUUACCAAAUAGGACUAAUUCCAACCUGGAUGUCCUCAAACACAUGAUACAUGAAGUGGAACAUGAAAUGGAAGAAUAUGAGCGGUGGACAGGUCGCGAGGUCAAGGGUCUGCAGAGCAGUCAGGGUCUUACAGGCUUCACUUUGUCGCUGGUGAGCUCCCUCUGUCGCCUGGUUCGGUACCUUAAAGAGAGUGAGAUCCAGCUACGUAAAGAAGUAGAGACAAGGCAACAACUGGAACAAGUAUUAGGUGAUCAUCGAGAGCUCAUUGAUGCUCUGACAGCUGAAAUUCUUCGUCUUAGAGAAGAAAACGCUGCUACACAGGCAAGACUUCAGCAGUACAUGGUCACAACAGAUGAGCAACUGAUAUCACUCACACAUGCUAUUAAGAACUGUCCUGUGAUAAAUAACAGACAAGAAAUUCAGGCAUCAGAAAGCGGAGCCACAGGUAGAAGAGUUAUGGACAGUCCAGAGCGUCCAGUUGUAAAUGCCAAUGUCUCAGUGCCAUUGAUGUUCAGAGAGGAAGUGGCUGAAUUCCCACAGGAAGAGUUGCCCGUUAAACUGUCUCAGGUGCCAGACCCUCCAGAUAACAUGAAUCUGGCCAAGAAUUUUCCAGCACAUAUUUUUGAGCCAGCUGUGUUGUUAACACCACCCAGGCAGAAGAGCAACUUAAAAUUCUCUCCUCUUCAGGACGUAUUGAGAAGGACUGUUCAAACUCGUCCUGCUCCACGACUUCCUCCAACUGUGGAAAUAAUUGAGAAGGAACAAAAUUGGGAAGAGAAGACCUUACCUAUUGAUACAGACAUUCAGAAUUCAAGUGAAGAGAAUCGUCUCUUCACUCAGAGAUGGAGAGUCUCUCACAUGGGAGAAGAUUUGGAGAACAAAACUCAGGCUCCUUUUGUUAACCUCUCACAGCCCCUCUGCAAUUCCCAUUCCAACACUCAACAGUCAAGAAGCCCCACAUUCUCAGAAGAGCUCCCAGUACUGGGAGAUGGGCAGCAGCUGAGAACAAAUGAGUCAUUAAUACAAAGAAAGGACAUAAUGACACGAAUUGCUGAUUUGACAUUGCAGAAUUCAGCUAUCAAGGCACAUAUGAAUAAUAUUAUUGAGCCCAGAGGAGAGCAAGGGGAUGGACUCCGGGAGUUGAACAAACAAGAAAGUGCAAGUGACAUGACUUCUACUUUUCCAGUAGCACAGUCUCUAACACCAGGUAGUAUGGAGGAACGGAUUGCAGAAUUGAAUCGACAAAGUAUGGAGGCUCGUGGAAAACUACUGCAGUUGAUAGAGCAGCAGAAACUUGUUGGUUUGAAUCUUUCUCCACCAAUGUCACCUGUUCAGUUACCUCUCAGAGCAUGGACUGAAGGAGCAAAGAGGACAAUUGAGGUAUCUAUUCCAGGAGCAGAAGCCCCAGAAAGCUCAAAAUGUAGUACUGUCUCUCCCGUCAGCGGGAUAAAUACAAGAAGAUCUUCCGGGGCUACUGGUAAUUCUUGUUCUCCACUAAAUGCCACCUCAGGAAGUGGGAGAUUCACACCUCUUAAUCCAAGAGCAAAGAUUGAGAAACAGAAUGAAGAAGGCUGGUUUGCUCUUUCUACCCAUGUAUCAUAAGUGAAGUCAAGUCUCACUGAGUUUGUUCUUAAUAAUUUAUUACUUCCCUUUCCCUGCUCUGACUUUUAAGUUUUUAUAUCCUUCUUUCAGAUAAAACCUACAAAGAUCCUGUGAAUUAGUACUAAUGAAACAGAGAAAUAAAGCAAUUAUUUUUUGACUUUCUCAAAUAAGUUUUCAACAACCAACUGACCUACAGCUCCCUGUGAAUGAAACUUUGACUGUAGAGAAGUUAAAGUUUUGUAUUUUAAUACUUUCUUAAGUAUUUUAAGGGUUUUUUUUAUUAAUACAUUUUUACCUUUAUCUUUAUUCAGGGUUUUUUGAGGUUUAGUAUAUCUUAGUUGAUCCAUUUAUUUAUUUAUUUUCCUGAAGAACUAAUUUGCUUUGCAUGUAACUUACAAUAAAAUUCCUCUGUGUGAUUAGAGUCUGGCUUUCAGGAAUAUGUAACACCCACUUUUCUUUCUUUUUUCUUGGGAAGUCAUUGCUGUUCAUCACUUUUUCCAUCAAGUGAAAUAUACAGCCUUAAAAACAAUAGGCCUGGGAGUGUUUGUUUAUAUUUGCUUAAGCAGUGUCAUGAGGCGGAGAAGGCCCGACCAAAGGGCGGAUAGGUACCGGGUUCCCGGAGAGCUGGACGCCGGCCGCGCAUGCGCCCCACGGCCCGCCCUGGUUCCGCCUCCCUGGAAGAGGGGUGGCGUUGUCUCGGUAACCGGAGUAAACGGAGGCCUCCGGCAGACGCUGUGAAGAGAGGAGCCGCGGCGGUCAGUACCUUCGAGGAAAUGAAGGAACCAGAUGAUCAGGAUACUGAUGGGGAGAAAUCAGUUACAUCAAAGAGUGAUGGGAAGAAGUCUCUGAGGUCUUCUAAAUCAGAAUCAAGAUCUCCUGUUCAAGAAGAUAACACAUUUUUAGAAGAUGACACAGAUGAAACAUUUACCAAAGGGGAAGGAUCAUAUUUAGAAGAAGACUCAGAUGAGGAACGUUUGGAAGGAAGUUUGAGUUCAUUUCAGUAUGGUGAUUUGCAAAGCACUACAGUACCUCAGCAAACCCCUGCUCCAGCUGUGGAAGAAGCAGAGGAGGAAGUUAAGAAGAAAAUAUCAGAGAGCUUCUUCUAUGAUUAUAUGGAGCUUGCUUCGAUGCCUUUUGUGACUCUGGAUUCAAACAUACCACUGGAUCUUCUCACACUUGUACAUUCUUUUGGUUAUGACUGUAGAAAGCGAGCCAACCUACAACUUCUGGACGACAGUAUCGCCAUAUACAUAGCUGGGAACCAACUGAUCUUUCUGAAUUUGAAAACCAAGGAACAGAUCUACCUGCGAAGUAGCAGUGGUGAAGGAAUUGGCGUCAUUGGGAUAAGGAAAUGGGCUUAUAGAGGUUAGGUGACUUCCCCAUAGUCGUGCAAGUUUUUCAUAUUUAGAUUAGAAGUGGAGAUGAGUGAGGAGAUUUUAAAGAAUCUUAAUCUGAAGACUGAAGCAGGCACAUGGCCAUGGGAAUGGAGAAGGUUCAUCCACAUAAAACUUAUUUCACAGUAGCUGAAAAAGGGAGUUUUCCAGAUAUUAUCAUCUAUGAAUAUCCUUCUCUGAGACCAUACAGAGUCCUUCGAGAUGGGACUGAGAAGGGAUAUGCUUAUGUGGACUUUAACUACAGCGGUAACUUGCUGGCCUCUGUUGGUAGUAACCCUGACUACACACUGACUAUCUGGAACUGGAAAGAAGAACAACCCAUACUAAGGACAAAAGCUUUUUCUCAGGAAGUUUUUAAGGUUACUUUCAAUCCUGAUAAGGAAGAGCAGCUUACUACAUCGGGAUCAGGCCACAUCAAGUUCUGGGAAAUGGCUUUUACGUUCACCGGUCUCAAGCUGCAGGGAUCACUAGGUCGAUUUGGCAAAACAAUCACUACUGAUAUAGAAGGCUACAUGGAGCUCCCAGAUGGGAAGGUGCUCUCAGGGUCAGAAUGGGGCAACAUGCUGCUUUGGGAAGGUGGUCUGAUCAAAGUGGAGCUCUGUCGAGGGACAAGCAAGUCAUGUCACAAUGGUCCCAUUAACCAGAUAAUGCUGUAUGAGGGUGAAGUUAUCACUGUUGGGUCAGAUGGAUAUGUUAGGGAUGCCAAUGGAGCCAUAUGGAAGCUUGACCUUAGUUUUUCAAAUAUUACCCAGGACCCAGAAUGCCUCUUCUCCUUCCAUUCUGGAGCUAUUGAAGCCGUGGCUGUUUCUCCUCUCACUUAUCUCAUGGCCACAACUGCCUUGGACUGCUCUGUUCGAAUCUAUGAUUUUGCUAGCAAAACUCCUUUGGCCCAGAUGAAAUUCAAACAAGGAGGUACUGCCCUUGUUUGGGUACCCCGAAUGCCUGAAAGUACUUUACUAAUUAUCUGUGAAAAUGGCUAUAUUCUUGAAGCUCCACUUCCAACCAUAAAGCAAGAAGAGGAUGAUCAUGAUGUAGUCUCCUAUGAAAUCAAAGACAUGUGCAUAAAAUGUUUCCAUUUUUCAAGUGUCAAAUCUAAGAUUCUGGAUUUUGAUGUAGAUUCCCAAAUCCGUGCUGAGAUGCACAGAAAAACAGCUUUCAAAAUUCAACAAGUGGAAAAGGAAUUAGCUUGGGAAAAAGAGAAACAUGAACUCGGCCUAAUGAAGCUAAAGAAUCGGUCCAUGGAAAUAAAAGGCACAUGAACAAGUGCAUUCUCUCUCUUAGAGACCUUAAAGUGGCUGUUGUUGAGGAAAUACAGUGCCUGGUACAAGAACUGAAGAACAUUCAGUCGACUCUUCACAUAUCCAAGCACAUACCCAUUCCCAAAAUUCCUCAGAUACACCCAGAAGAAGUUCCAGAAAAGAGAUUUCAGUAUGAUGAAGAAACUCUCCUAAAUUUUAAGCAACAGCAAAUGAAAAGUAAAGAUGAAAAGUCCCCCGGAGUGGAACAGACAGGGUCUGGAGGCCCAGUUGGAGGAUUCCUCAAACUCUCUUCUAGAAAGGAUGGGGAUUUGACAACCCGUGAUUCAAUAUCUAGAUCAUCAAAGGCAUCAACAUUCAGCCUAGAUAUACCAAAGUGUUUGGAAUUUGAAAAAGCAGAGCCAACGGAUGUGGAGCUGGAAAUUAUGAAGAGAGACGAGAUUAAACACGUGUACAUGCAACAGUAUUUGGUCAACAGGAUCAAAGAACUGGUUGUCACUUUCGAUGCAGAACUCCGUCUCCUUAGACAUCAGAAACUAAAACUAGAUACUCAGAUGAAAUUAUCUGACCUGCACCAUGUCACCUUAUUUCAAGAAAUACUUCUCCUGAAGAAUUUUGAAAAACAGGAGAACAUACUUCAAGAACGUGUUAAUUCCUUAGACAAAGAGGAACAGUACAUGCAAUGGAAAAUAAAUGAAACUCUUAAAGAGAUGGAAGAGAAAAAGAAUGAAAUCACCAAACUCCAGGAGCAAGAAAAGGCACUCUAUGCUGGUUUUCAAGCAGCCAUUGGAGAAAACAAUAAAUUUGCAAACUUCCUCAUGAAGGUCCUAAAGAAGAAGAUUAAACGGGUAAAGAAAAAAGAAGUUGAAGGAGAUGCUGAUGAAGAUGAGGAGAGUGAGGAAUCAAGUGAAGAAGAAUCUAGCUUGGAGAGUGAUGAAGAUGAGUCUGAAUCAGAAGAUGAGGUUUUUGAUGAUUCUAUUUGCCCAACAAAUUGUGAUGUGGCUCUUUUUGAGCUGGCCCUUCACCUUCGAGAGAAAAGGCUGGACAUUGAGGAGGCUUUAGUUGAAGAAAAGAAAAUUGUUGAUAACCUCAAAAAGGAAUAUGAUACAUUGUCAAAAAAAGUGAAAAUUGUGGCAACUAAUCUGAAUGCAGCAGAGGAGGCCCUGGAGGCUUAUCAGCGAGAGAAGCAGCAGCGGCUGAAUGAACUGCUAGUUGUGAUUCCGCUCAAGCUCCACCAGAUAGAGUAUGUGGUAUUUGGAGAAAUACCUAGCGAUCUUUCUGGUACUUUGGUCUUCUCUAACCAUGCCUUGAGACGGCUGCAAGAACGAAUCCAUGAGCUCCAGGAGGAAAAUUCCAAGCAGCAAAAACUUAACAAAGAAUGGAGAGAGAGACGUAAACAGCUCAUCCGAGAAAAGAGAGAAAUGACAAAAACCAUACACAAAAUGGAGGAAACAGUCCGGCAGCUCAUGAUCAGCAAGUUUGGCCGUGUGGUAAAUCUAGAAGCCCUUCAAACGCUUUCUGUUAAUACAACACUUGAAGAACUGAAGAUCAGAAAACUUCGAAAGGAGCUAGCAAAUGCGAAAGAGAUGAAGAUGUGGGAGGAAAAGAUUGCUCAAAUGCGAUGGGAACUGAUGAUGAAGACAAAAGAACACACCAGAAAGCUUUAUCAGAUGAAUGAUUUGUGUAUUGAAAAGAAGAAACUUGAUUCUCGGUUGAAUACACUACAGAAUCAGCAGGGCAAUGCCUUCCAGGGCCCUCGGGAAGCAGAUGUUGUGGCAAGAGAGGAGGUCACUGAAUUGAUCCAACUCCAGGCGGAAAGGAUUUCGGCCUUAAAGGAGGAGAUUGCUCUUUUGCGUAGGAAAGGCAGUCUUAUCCUCCCACCCAUUCAGUCUCCACGAGAGAAAGAGAUACAGCCCGCAGACCUUUGAGUUUGCUAUUUUCUCAAACCCAUACAAGAUUUCUGACAUAACUCACUGGAAGUUCUGUCUCCUCAUCACCUCCAACAAUCUUAUUACUUUAAACUGAACUCGCCUGAAAGUGUAAAACCAGAUCCAGUCACGUUAAGUCACUUUAAGAAUCUCUCUACAAUUUGGUUAUCUUAGAACUGACUGCAGCACCCAACCUCUGUUAUGAAACUGAAUCAUUUUAGAUGUUUCGAACCUACUAGAUUGAAUAUGAAGUCUCGGAAGGCUGUGUUUCAUGAUUGCAGCAAAUCACCUGUAAUAUAUUUUGUUUUAGGAAAAUUUGAUUUGGGGGUAUCCUGAAUUUUUAGCCCUUGGCAAGAAAAACUAUCAUUCAGCAAUUCAUGAGAAAACUUUGUUUUCUUGAUCCUUAGAAAAUAAACUUAGAUGUUAUUAAGUGUUCUCUGAGAGGAUGCAGGAGAAAAGGACAUUUUGUCAGCUAUAUCUUAGAAUAGAAAUGCAAAUUUCAGUUUUGGCAUUGUUGACUUCAUAAAGCAGUGUUUUGAGGGCUCAGGAUUCAGGAAAUACAAACAGACAUGGCAGAGCAGUUUGCUUUGGGUUGGCAGAAAGCAGGAAAAUAACCAGCCUUCUUGGAUUGCCCACAGUUUUUGUAGACUCCUCAGUUCUGAGUGGAGCAGAGGGGCAUGCUUAAUAAAACAGUCAAUAAAGAGGCUUUUCUUUAAAGAUUUCUGCAACUCCGUCAGAAUUCUAAGUUUUCCCCAUAGUUUCUCAUGUCCCCUGCCAUUUUCUUUCAGGUUUUACUUGGGCCAUUUGCUGGUUUUGAUAUAGAUGAGGAGAUAAUGAAAUAGAUUUACUAGAGAUCAUCUUUAACAAUCACCUUUGAUUAUGCAUAACAUUUUAAACUAAUUGAAGAGUAUCCUUUUGGUUUGGGGGUAAGUGCUCAUUGAAGUUCAUGGCUAUAACCAUUGCAGGAUAAUCUCACUGACAUUUGGAAUCCUGUUAGUAACAGAGCAUAGCUCUUUAGAUUAAGAGCUCUGUAUUAACGAGCUACUCAUUGAGGCUGUUCCAGGAUAAGCUGGUCACUGAGAAGGGCGGGUGAAGAAAGGAACAUUGCAUAAAUGUAGAAGGGAACUCAGCAAUGCCAAGUCUUCCUCACCUGUGAUUAGCCUGCUAAUGUGCCCCCCAAAAUUACAGACAGGUCUUGCUUUCUUUGUACAUCAGCAUAUUCUUAGAGGUGGCCACUUGGCCUAUUGUCUUCCUAAGAUUCCUUCAUAUUCCUAUUUAAGAGGUCAGAAUACCUUAUUGUUUGCACUUGUCACCAUUAAUUUCUGAUGUAGUCACUUCUCUACUGGAGAGCACCCACUUUUUUUUUUAAAUCACUUUCUGUGUUGUAUAUCCUAAGCCAUGUGUGCCUUUCAAGUAUUUUUAAAAAUAUGCUAGUCAUAGCCCUGAGUGUCUUAUUUAUUGCGGUAAAAAAUUACCCCCAAACUUAGCUUGAAACAACAAACUUGUGAUCUCACCCAGGAGUGAGAGGGUUUCUGAGGUCCAGGAAUCUGGGGACAGCUUGGCCGGGUGUUCUGGCUCAGGGUCUUUCGUGGAGUUGCAGUCACACUAGGAGCUGGGGCUGCAGCCAUCUGAAGCUUGGCUGGAGCUGGAGGGGCUAUUAGCAAAUUCACUCCCUUGGCCAUUAGGCAGGGCUUCAGUUCCUCGCCAUGUGGGCCUCUCCAUAGGGCCGCUUGGGAUAUGACUUCUCCCAGAGCAAGUGAUCCAAGAGUGAGGGAGACAGCAAGAGAGAAUGAUGUAUACAAGAGCCACAGUCUUUUACAGCCCAAGCUCAGAAGUGACAUAGCGUCACUAUUGUCAUAUGGGUCACAGGCUGACCCUGUGUGAUGUGGGAGGGGACUGAACAGGGUGUGAAUGCCAGGUGGGGGUCACCGGGGCCUUCGUGGGAGCUGGCAGCCACAAGAAGCAGCUGCCUGGAGAGAGUGGCUGGUCUCUGAGAAAGGUCUUGAGGCGAUACCAUCCCCUUGGUAAUUGUAGAGAAUCAGGAGAAGUUACGUUAUCUUCCUGGGCCUCAUUUUAUUAUCUGACAAAUGAAGGAUUGGUAGAAUGGGUUCCUUCCCAUUCUGAGAUUCUGAUUCUGAUUGCAGCAAGAAUGGACCUACAGUCUACAGAAGAGCCACAUCAGGACUUGCUGUGCAUUUCAACUGAGAGGAAAGCUAAUCGGGAUAAUUAUUCCCAAACUGAGCUGGACUAAAUCACUAGUUAAUUCUACAAUAUUCAGGGCUUCAUUCCGCAUGUUUGGGAAUUGACGACAGUUAACACUGAAUUACUUUAUUUUGAAUUGGACAAAAUAUGUUGAUAGCUUUAGGUUCAUUUCAACUUGAUUCCAGGCUUAGUCUUAAAUCUGUAGUUAAGUUAGAGCAUCUGAGUCUUUGGGAAGUUAAGCUUCAAACACAAGUAGACCAGCAGGGUGUGGCAUGGGCAGGGUGGCUGGGAAGCUAUCCUGCUCCUGGCACACUUCCCUGCCUUCUGCUGUGCUCCCAGAGGAGCAGCCUCACCUCUGAGGGUAAGGCCAAAAAUCAGCCUACACUGAGUUACUUGUGGGUCAAUUGUUCAUAUAACUUGGCUCUUCUGAACUGUCAUCCAUAGUAUCACCGAUGAUCAAUCUCAGCAUUGGAAGAAAAAGAAACCACAGAGUCCAGCCCCUCUGUCACAACUUCAGAGUAAAGGAGUUGCUCAUGCCUGCCAGCCAGCCUGUCCCACCACAGCGGGCUCCCCAGCUUAGGGAGGUCUGUGAGCCAUGUGCUAAAUUUCUCUUUAGAGCUAAAUCCAUUGAGUGCUAUGAUUCCAGUGCUGUGCAGAAAGCAGAUGUUUCACCUAUCACUUCAGAAAAGUUCACCAGACUUCAUUUUGACAGCUACCUUAGAUCAUCAAGGAGAAAAAGGAAAAAAUGUAAAAACCAGUGGGGCUAGAAGGUGAGUUACAGCUCAGAUUGGGGGGCCUCUGGAUAGCAAAGCAAUGACUGAGAGCGUCAGCCCUACCCACCCCAGAAGUGAGCUCUGGGCCGUGAUGCCAGGUUGUCUGAAAUCACAGUAUCUUAUUUUUUCUCUUCUCUUCCCUGCUCUGCUUCUCAUUUCCUAACAUUUACCUGUUCCUUACAGUCCUUCCUUUUAAAUAAUAUUUUUAAAAUACUGCUUUCCUGAAAACCAUGCUGCACUUCCACAUGAAGUUCUCUCUGACGUUGAGCUUGAUGGAAAAAGGAUGCAGAAGUCAGGAAUAGCAGGUGCUAUACUUAUUUUGGCCAGCAGAGGAUGCACUUGCCCUAAACAGUCAGAGUGACUCUUCCCUAGGACCCUGUUUAUCAAAUUCUUCAUGUUUAAAAGCCAGGGUCUGGCCCCCCACUUAACGAGAUUGUCUCAAGUGGCAUUUCAUCUGUAACUCAAUUUUACAGAAAUCUAGAAAAUACAGGCUCCCCCCACCCUCUCCAGCCCCAAAACACAAAGCGUAGUAAGGCUUUCAUUGCAAGCAUCAGUCUCCAUCUAAUUCCACUUCCACAUAUAAAGAUUUUAAAAUUUCAAUUAAAAAAGAAUCUAUGGUUGAUCCUUUGGUUGGACAACAGUAAGUAAAUGUUGAUUUUAAACUAGUGAGUCAACUACUCUGGCAAUGUUGGUGUAUCUUUGGAAAGAAGGGAAGUGAAUUUAUUAUGCACCAUAUGUCCAUGUGUGGCACAGCACUUAGCUAAACAGUAUUUUGGAGAAAAUAUUUGGUCUUCAACACACACCUAUAUAAAAAAGAUUAGUUCUAUUUCUUCAAUAUGACCUAAACUUCAUCUCAAGUCCAGUUGGUAAGAGAACUAUGAACCUGUUUUUCCUGGUCUGUUGUACAACGGUUCCCUUGUGGACUAAACGGUAAUGUGUUCUGCAUGAAUCCAAGCACAACUGACAUUCACUGUUUUAAAAAACAAAAAAGAGAAACAUUUACUACCUUUUUCAGAUCUCAUUUCUGAUGGACCUGAAAAUAUUGUAAGUGGGUAUUUUCUUCAAAUACUCAGAGACUGAAUUCUAACAUGUAAAGAAAAUGCUGACUCACACAUGACUCAGUUUGAAGGUUACAGGGAAGACUAAACAUUUAUUUAGAAGUUACAGUGUUUGUUUUUACAGAGAUAUGUUGCCACGGAUUAUUGAUUCUGGAAGGUUUUUUAAUGCUCAUAGUGCUGUACACAUCUUGGUCUGUUCUCAUGGGCAUCUUAGGAAAAUGUUUCCCGUAGCACCGGAUCCAGCCAUCUGUGUGGGUGUCUCCAGGCUGUGAUACCGUGCCCCUUGCUGUUCCCUCAUGCUCGUGAUGAACCAUGUGCCUGGGAUCCUUCCUCUUGCCAGCUUAUCUGUGGGCCUCCUGCAGCCUCGCCUGCCACUGCAGAGGCCCCAGGUUAGGAGUCUGUCCCGCGCCAGCCUGUGCGGUGCUUUCCUGGGUGACUCCUGUUAGGUGGCAGCUUCUUUAUUUUCCCUCUCCAACCUCAACGGGUAGGACUCCUUAUGUCUCUCCAGAAUUAUAAAACAUAUACAUUUAUUUACAAGUGCAUAAAUAUAUAAAUAUGGCUAUAAUAGAAAAAUAAAUACCAAUUUUCUCUGUC
Molecule: long non-coding RNA, 12033 nt
Filed under: Homo sapiens (human)
Lineage: Eukaryota; Metazoa; Chordata; Mammalia; Primates; Hominidae
Description: SPICE1-CFAP44 readthrough (NMD candidate), transcript variant 4 (SPICE1-CFAP44)
Source: RNAcentral